UACGAAGGGGGCUAGCGUUGUUCGGAAUUACUUGGCGUAAAGCGCACGUAGGCGGAUAUUUAAGUCAGGGGUGAAAUCCCAGAGCUCAACUCUGGAACUGCCUUUGAUACUGGGUAUCUCGAGUAUGGAAGAGGUGAGUGGAAUUCCGAGUGUAGAGGUGAAAUUCGUAGAUAUUCGGAGGAACACCAGUGGCGAAGGCGGCUCACUGGUCCAUUACUGACGCUGAGGUGCGAAAGCGUGGGGAGCAAACAGG
Molecule: ribosomal RNA, 253 nt
Filed under: uncultured bacterium
Lineage: Bacteria
Description: partial 16S ribosomal RNA
Rfam family: Bacterial small subunit ribosomal RNA
Source: RNAcentral